This 293-nucleotide ribosomal RNA is filed under the name Staphylococcus pseudintermedius. RNAcentral's name for it is "partial 16S ribosomal RNA". It matches the Rfam family "Bacterial small subunit ribosomal RNA", at positions 1 to 283 of the family's 1533-position model. The record is from RNAcentral. Lineage: Bacteria; Bacillati; Bacillota; Bacilli; Caryophanales; Staphylococcaceae.
UUUAUGGAGAGUUUGAUCCUGGCUCAGGAUGAACGCUGGCGGCGUGCCUAAUACAUGCAAGUCGAGCGAACAGAUAAGGAGCUUGCUCCUUUGACGUUAGCGGCGGACGGGUGAGUAACACGUGGGUAACCUACCUAUAAGACUGGAAUAACUCCGGGAAACCGGGGCUAAUGCCGGAUAACAUGUUGAACCGCAUGGUUCUACAGUGAAAGACGGUCUUGCUGUCACUUAUAGAUGGACCCGCGCCGUAUUAGCUAGUUGGUGGGGUAACGGCUUACCAAGGCGACGAUACG